Molecule: ribosomal RNA, 253 nt
Filed under: uncultured bacterium
Lineage: Bacteria
Description: partial 16S ribosomal RNA
Rfam family: Bacterial small subunit ribosomal RNA
Source: RNAcentral
UACGUAGGGUCCGAGCGUUGUCCGGAAUCAUUGGGCGUAAAGAGCGUGUAGGCGGCCCGGUAAGUCCGCUGUGAAAGUCGGGGGCUCAACCCUCGAAUGCCGGUGGAUACUGUCGGGCUAGAGUGCGGAAGAGGCGAGUGGAAUUCCUGGUGUAGCGGUGAAAUGCGCAGAUAUCAGGAGGAACACCGAUUGCGAAGGCAGCUCGCUGGGACGUUACUGACGCUGAGACGCGAAAGCGUGGGGAGCAAACAGG